GGAUGAACCUACUAAUCAUCUUGACCUUCGGGCUGUACUAUGGUUAGAGGAGUACCUGUGCAGAUGGAAGAAAACUCUGGUUGUUGUUUCACAUGAUCGAGACUUUCUGAACACUGUUUGCAAUGAGAUUAUCCAUCUCCAUGACAUGAAACUGCACUUCUAUCGGGGUAACUUUGAUGGUUUUGGAACACUGUUUGCAAUGAGAUUAUUCAUCUCCAUGACUUGAAACUGCACUUCUAUCGGGGUAACUUUGAUGGUUUUGAAAGUGGAUAUGAACAACGCCGCAAAGAGAUGAACAAGAAGUUUGAGAUUUAUGAUAAGCAGUUAAAAGCUGCCAAGAGAUCUGGAAAUCGAGCACAACAGGAGAAGGUAAAAGACCGAGCCAAAUUUGUAGUUGCCAAAGAAUCAAAGAAAAAGGGCAAGGAUAGGGUUGAUGAAGAUGAAACUCCACCUGAAGCCCCUCAGAAGUGGAGGGACUACACCGUGGAGUUCCACUUCCCUGAGCCUACUGAACUGACACCUCCACUUCUUCAGCUAAUUGAGGUCAGCUUCAGCUACCCUAAUAGACCAGACUUUAGGCUCGCUGAUGUUGAUGUUGGAAUUGAUAUGGGGACUCGAGUUGCUAUUGUUGGGCCCAAUGGAGCAGGAAAAUCGACCUUGCUUAACCU
Molecule: long non-coding RNA, 668 nt
Filed under: Nicotiana benthamiana
Lineage: Eukaryota; Viridiplantae; Streptophyta; Magnoliopsida; Solanales; Solanaceae
Description: long non-coding RNA (NBEN_LNC013828)
Source: RNAcentral